CAGUAGCCGCGGUAAUACGAGGGGGGCAAGCGUUGUUCGGAAUUAUUGGGCGUAAAGGGCGCGUAGGCGGUUUGGCAAGUUCGGUGUGAAAUCUUCGGGCUCAACUCGAAGUCUGCACCGAAAACUGCCGGGCUUGAGUAUGGGAGAGGUGAGUGGAAUUUCCGGUGUAGCGGUGAAAUGCGUAGAUAUCGGAAGGAACACCUGUGGCGAAAGCGGCUCACUGGACCAUUACUGACGCUGAGGCGCGAAAGCUAGGGGAGCAAACAGGAUUAGAUACCCCUGUAGUCCCUGUCUCUUAUAC
RNAcentral lists this ribosomal RNA (301 nucleotides) under uncultured bacterium. Its description in RNAcentral is "partial 16S ribosomal RNA". It matches the Rfam family "Bacterial small subunit ribosomal RNA", at positions 509 to 807 of the family's 1533-position model. The record is from RNAcentral.